RNAcentral lists this transfer RNA (57 nucleotides) under Loxodonta africana (African savanna elephant). It matches the Rfam family "tRNA", at positions 8 to 63 of the family's 71-position model. From Rfam's summary of the family: Transfer RNA (tRNA) molecules are approximately 80 nucleotides in length. Their secondary structure includes four short double-helical elements and three loops (D, anti-codon, and T loops). Lineage: Eukaryota; Metazoa; Chordata; Mammalia; Proboscidea; Elephantidae. The record is from Rfam by way of RNAcentral.
UGGUGCAGUGGUUAGGCACUGGGCUGCUAACCCAAGGACUGGUGGUUCGAAUCCACC